UACAUGAAGGAAUAGGCAGAUAAAG
RNAcentral lists this non-coding RNA (25 nucleotides) under Cricetulus griseus (Chinese hamster). The record is from RNAcentral. Lineage: Eukaryota; Metazoa; Chordata; Mammalia; Rodentia; Cricetidae.